CCUACGGGUGGCAGCAGUGAGGAAUAUUGGUCAAUGGACGGAAGUCUGAACCAGCCAUGCCGCGUGCAGGAAGACGGCUCUAUGAGUUGUAAACUGCUUUUGUACAAGGGUAAACCUGAAUACGUGUAUUCAGCUGAAAGUACUGUACGUAUAAGGAACGGCUAACUCCGUUCCAGCAGCCGCGGUAAGACGGAGGAUCCAAGCGUUAUCCGGAUUUAUUGGGUUUAAAGGGUGCGUAGGCGGUUAAACAAGUUAUAUGUUAAAUAUAUAGGCUAAACCUGUAGAAAGCAUAUAAAACUGUUUAACUAGAGAGCAGAAGAGGUAAGUGGAAUUCCUGGUGUAGCGGUGAAAUGCGUAGAGAUUAGGAAGAACACCAGUGGCGAAGGCGACUUCUGGACUGUAACUGACGCUGAGGCAUGAGAGCAUGGGGAGCAAACAGGAUUAGAUACCCUUGUAGUC
This 459-nucleotide ribosomal RNA is filed under the name uncultured bacterium. Its description in RNAcentral is "partial 16S ribosomal RNA". It matches the Rfam family "Bacterial small subunit ribosomal RNA", at positions 338 to 795 of the family's 1533-position model. The record is from RNAcentral.